CGCGUAGGUGGUUUGUUAAGUUGGAUGUGAAAGCCCCGGGCUCAACCUGGGAACUGCAUCCAAAACUGGCAAGCUAGAGUACGGUAGAGGGUGGUGGAAUUUCCUGUGUAGCGGUGAAAUGCGUAGAUAUAGGAAGGAACACCAGUGGCGAAGGCGACCACCUGGACUGAUACUGACACUGAGGUGCGAAGCGUGGGGAGCAAACA
This 206-nucleotide ribosomal RNA is filed under the name uncultured bacterium. RNAcentral's name for it is "partial 16S ribosomal RNA". It matches the Rfam family "Bacterial small subunit ribosomal RNA", at positions 568 to 774 of the family's 1533-position model. The record is from RNAcentral.